UCCGAGUUGACCCCGGCAGUCUCCUGCGAGUCCCCGCCAUUACGCGCUGGCAACACAGGACAAGGGUUGCGCUCGUUGCGGGACUUAACCCAACAUCUCACGACACGAGCUGACGACAGCCAUGCAGCAUCUGUGCAUGAGCUCCGAAGAGCACCUCUGAUCUCUCAAAGGCUUCCCAUGCAUGUCAAGCCCAGGUAAGGUUCUUCGCGUUGCGUCGAAUUAAACCACAUGCUCCGCUGCUUGUGCGGGUCCCCGUCAAUCCCUUUGAGUUUUAGCCUUGCGGCCGUACUCCCCAGGCGGGGCACUUAAUGCGUUAGCGUCGGCACGGGAGGAGUCGACACCUCCCACACCUAGUGCCCAUCGUUUACGGCGUGGACUAC
Molecule: unclassified non-coding RNA, 380 nt
Filed under: uncultured Actinomycetes bacterium
Lineage: Bacteria; Bacillati; Actinomycetota; Actinomycetes
Description: uncultured actinobacterium contains 16S-23S intergenic spacer region
Source: RNAcentral